AUGGGUGUGGUCGCAAGGGCCGGAGGUAAGGCUGGGAGCACCCCAUCAGUGACACCCCUCCCUCCAAGAGCAGCACGGAGCCAGGGGGGAGGGGGCCAACGAACCACAGGAAGAGGCGGAGAAGGGCCGGGGUCUCCUUUGGUCAAAGCUGAUAUCAAAAAUAUAAAUCUCCCUUCCCCCAUCCCACCCCCGUCCCGGGGUUUCACCCCCACCCCCACCCCCGGGCUAAGGCACAAAGCAGUGAGGCCAGGUGGGGCCGCCGCCACCGCGGCGACGCUGCCGCUGCUACUACAGUUGUCCGGGCGCGGUGUGCCUGCUCGCGGCUGCCGCCGCCGCCGCUCCCUGGGGACACGGGCCGGGGCCACGCGGCGGCGACAUGUCAGGCCGGCAAGAGGCGCUCUAGGUCGGGGAAAAACGGUCGAUGGUCCGGCCGUCGGGCCCGGCGGCCAGGUGCGCUCCCUGGCUCAGCACCUCGGCCGCCUUGUCCGGGCUGAGGCCCAGCUCCGCGGUGAACUUAGCCAGCGGGUAGAGGCUCUCCAGCGCCACCUUGGGGUCGUGCAGGAAGUGCGUGGUCUGCGCCAGCAGCUCGGCCGCGGCUGCCUUGUCCUGCUGCUUCAGGCUCAGCUGUUCAGCCGUGAGGCGGGCCACAGCAAAGACGCCCUCGGGGAAGUCGAGCUUGCCCUUGCCGUCAGGUCCGGGGACGCCGGGCAGCCCCCCCAGACCCGCCAACGCCCCGGCUGCGCCUGCCGCGCCACCCACGGCGUGCAUCUUCAUGUGGCUGAUGAGGUUGCGUUGCUGCGCGAACUUGCCGCCGCACACCUGGCACUCGUAGGGCUUCUCGCCCGAGUGGAUGCGCAUGUGUUCGGUCAGGCGGUACUGGCGCGUGAAGCGCAUGCCGCACGCGUCGCACGCGAAGGGUUUGAGGCCCAGGUGGCUGCGCAUGUGGCGAGUCAUGGUUCCGCGCUGCGUGAACUUCUUCCCGCAGAUGGUGCAAGGAUAGGGCCGGGUCAGCCAGUGCGUCUUCUCGUGCUGUCGCAGCGUGGCCGGGUCCUUGUAGCUCUUGUCGCACGACGCGCAGCGGUACGGCCGCAGCAGCUCGCCCAGGCCGCCCGGUGCCCCAGCGACCUUGUCCCCACUGCCUCCAAAAGGGGGCCCCAAGCCGGUGGCCCCCGCCGUUCCAUCAGCCGCCUCGGCCCUGCCGUACAGCGCCUCCUCCUCCUCCACGUGAGCUUCCACGUGUGCGUUCAGCUGCUCCGAGCUGGGGAAGCCCUUGCCGCACGGAAUGCACACGUACAGGUUGUCACCGAAGCUCUCAGGCUCGCCGUAAGCCAGGUGCGGGCACGGAUAGCCCUCGAGGUGGCCGCCGGGCGGGCUGGGGUCCUCGCUGCUGCCCGUCUCCUCGCUGCUGCUCUUGUAGUCGUCGCCGUCGCCGCCCGCGCCUGGCCCGUCCAGGCUGCUCUGGUAGCGCGGCGGCGCCAGGCCCAGUGGGGGCACCCCGGGCGAAGC
Molecule: long non-coding RNA, 1506 nt
Filed under: Suricata suricatta (meerkat)
Lineage: Eukaryota; Metazoa; Chordata; Mammalia; Carnivora; Herpestidae
Description: lncRNA (ENSSSUG00005022776.1)
Source: RNAcentral